AUUGUUUCAUUAAAAUUUCAAGAAUUAUAACAUACAUGUUAGGAGUCUGGUCGGAUUCGAACUCAGAACCUCCUAUUCUGAUUUCGUGUUAAAUAUGUUAAAUAUAAAAAUAUACCAUUCUCUAAUAGCUUAAACUUUUAGAAUACAACGGUUGUUUCACAUAAUGAUAUCAGAACAGUAAAUUCUGAGUUCGAGUCACGCCAGACUUCUAAUAUUAUUAAUUUUCUCCAAUUUAAUUCAAGUCCACGUCAUGAACUUUGCAAAAAGUCUCGAACCCAGACGUGCGGGGGGUGUUAAAUAUAAAAAUGCAACAUUCUCUAAUAGCUUAAGCUUUUAGAGUAUAACAAUAGUUUUAUAUUAUGAUGUUCAGCAAAUAAAGAAUGAUAUAUAAAAUAU
Molecule: long non-coding RNA, 396 nt
Filed under: Ananas comosus (pineapple)
Lineage: Eukaryota; Viridiplantae; Streptophyta; Magnoliopsida; Poales; Bromeliaceae
Description: long non-coding RNA (ACOM_LNC027830)
Source: RNAcentral